RNAcentral lists this ribosomal RNA (301 nucleotides) under uncultured bacterium. RNAcentral describes it as "bacterial SSU rRNA". It matches the Rfam family "Bacterial small subunit ribosomal RNA", at positions 505 to 805 of the family's 1533-position model. The record is from RNAcentral.
GUGCCAGCAGCCGCGGUAAUACGUAGGGUGCGAGCGUUAAUCGGAAUUACUGGGCGUAGAGCGAGCGCAGACGGUUACUUAAGCAGGAUGUGAAAUCCCCGGGCUCAACCUGGGAAUUGCGAUUGUGACUGCAUCGCUGGAGUGCGGCAGAGGGGGAUGGAAUUCCGCGUGUAGCAGUGAAAUGCGUAGAUAUGCGGAGGAGCACCGAUGGCGAAGGCAAUCCCCUGGGCCUGCACUGACGCUCAUGCACGAAAGCGUGGGGAGCAAACAGGAUUAGAUACCCUGGUAGUCCACGCCCUAA